RNAcentral lists this long non-coding RNA (882 nucleotides) under Ananas comosus (pineapple). RNAcentral describes it as "long non-coding RNA (ACOM_LNC001814)". The record is from RNAcentral. Lineage: Eukaryota; Viridiplantae; Streptophyta; Magnoliopsida; Poales; Bromeliaceae.
AUGACGAUGAGGAGGAUGAUGAAGAUGUGUCGGCGACGGGAUCCAAUGAACGAAUGAAAAAAGAUAUUACUAAAAUAAUUUGUGAACGAAUGAAGGAAUGAAAAAAGUUUAGGUCAAAGAUAUUUAUAUUUAAGAAAAUGAGAGGAUUGGCGGAUAACUUAAUUUUGGAUAUUACGUGAUUGGCGGGAAUAUUUUAAAUUUGGGAAUAUUUUAAAUUUUGGGUAAUUUUGGGUAUUAUCUGAUUGGCGGGAAUAUUUUUUUAGAAAAGGCAGAAAAUUAAAAAUACGUACAGAUUAAAAAUAAGAGGAUUUGCAAGUAAUUUAAUUUUGGAAAAUUUCGGGUAUUACGUGAUUGGCGGGAAUAUUUUUUUACGAAAGGCGGGAAUACGUGGGAAUAUUUUUACGUGGGAAUAUUUUUUUGAGUUAAGAAAAUAUUUGAGAAAACACAUAGAUAGGAGAUAACGGAUAUUAAGGGAUAUUACGUGAUUGACGGGAAUAUUUUAAAUUUUGGGUAAUUUUGGGUAUUAUCUGAUUGGCGGGAAUAUUUUUUUAGAAAAGGCGGGAAUACGUGGGAAUAUUUUUACGUGGGAAUUUUUUUUUGAGUUAAGAAAAUAUUUGAGAAAACACAUAGAUAGGAGAUAACGGAUAUUAAGGGUAUUAUUGUCAAGAAAAAUGACAGAUACUUUUAUUUUUAUUCGUUGGAUGAGAUCCAAUGGUAAAAAUUUAAUAUCUAUAUGGAAAAAUAAAUUAUUAUCUAAAAACUUAUUUGAAACGAAUGGUUAAGAAUUACUGGACAUGACAAUAUUAAUAGAAAAGAUAGAGGUAUUUUUGGAAAGAAAAAAAAUUUAAAACUCACGCUUUUAUAAGUAGUAUAGAUAUAUAU